CAGCCGCCGCGGUAACACCAGCCCCUCGAGUGGUGGGGAUGAUUAUUUGGCCUAAAGCGUCCGUAGCCGGCCGUGCAAGUCUUCCGUUAAAUCCAGCGUCUCAAGCGUUGGACCGCGGGAGAUACUACACGGCUAGAGAGUGGGAGAGGUCAGCGGUAUUCUGGGGGUAGGGGCGAAAUCCUUUGAUCCCCGGAGGACCACCAGUGGCGAAGGCUGCUUACUAGAACACGUCUGACGGUCAGGGACGAAAGCUGGGGUAGCGAACCGGAUUAGAUACCCGGGUAGUCCCAGCCGUAAACGAUGCAUGCUAGGUGUUGGGUUGGCCAUGAGCCGCCUCAGUGCCGCAGGGAAGCCGUUAAGCAUGCCGCCUGGGAAGUACGAUCGCAAGGUUGAAACUUAAAGGAAUUGGCGGGGGAGCAC
RNAcentral lists this ribosomal RNA (420 nucleotides) under uncultured Nitrososphaerota archaeon. Its description in RNAcentral is "bacterial SSU rRNA". It matches the Rfam family "Archaeal small subunit ribosomal RNA", at positions 459 to 879 of the family's 1478-position model. The record is from RNAcentral. Lineage: Archaea; Thermoproteati; Nitrososphaerota.